GAUGAAGAACGUAGCGAAGUGCGAUAAGUAAUGUGAAUUGCAGAAUUCAGUGAAUCAUCGAAUCUUUGAACGCACAUUGCGCCCGUCAGUAUUCUGGCGGGCAUGCCUGUUCGAGCGUCAUUACGCCCCUCAAGUCCCCUGUGGACUUGGUGUUGGGGAUCGGCGAGGCUGGUUUUCCAGCACAGCCGUCCCUUAAAUUAAUUGGCGGUCUCGCCGUGGCCCUCCUCUGCGCAGUAGUAAAACACUCGCAACAGGAGCCCGGCGCGGUCCACUGCCGUAAAACCCCCCAACUUUUUAUAGUUGACCUCGAAUCAGGUAGGACUACCCGCUGAACUUAAGCAUAUCAAUAAGCGGAGGA
Molecule: unclassified non-coding RNA, 358 nt
Filed under: soil metagenome
Description: partial contains 5.8S ribosomal RNA, internal transcribed spacer 2, and large subunit ribosomal RNA
Rfam family: 5.8S ribosomal RNA (bases 1-120)
Source: RNAcentral